CUUGGAAAUGGCGAGGAAACCGUUACCAUUACUGAGUUUAGUAAUGGUAACGGUUCUGUUGCUGCUUCCAAA
This is a microRNA precursor of Dipodomys ordii (Ord's kangaroo rat), 72 nucleotides long. Lineage: Eukaryota; Metazoa; Chordata; Mammalia; Rodentia; Heteromyidae. The record is from Ensembl.